GGUCCGUUGGUCAAGGGGUUAAGACACCGCCUUUUCACGGCGGUAACACGGGUUCGAAUCCCAGGGUGCAUUU
Molecule: transfer RNA, 73 nt
Filed under: Streptococcus pneumoniae
Lineage: Bacteria; Bacillati; Bacillota; Bacilli; Lactobacillales; Streptococcaceae
Description: tRNA-Glu(ttc)
Rfam family: tRNA
About the family: Transfer RNA (tRNA) molecules are approximately 80 nucleotides in length. Their secondary structure includes four short double-helical elements and three loops (D, anti-codon, and T loops).
Source: RNAcentral